GACGAACGCUGGCGGCGUGCCUAAUACAUGAAAGUCGAGCGGACCGAAGGGAGCUUGCUCCUUUAGGUUAGCGGCGGACGGGUGAGUAACACGUGGGCAACCUGCCCUGCAGACUGGGAUAACUUCGGGAAACCGGAGCUAAUACCGGAUAACACCGAAAACCGCAUGGUUUUCGGUUGAAAGGCGGCUUUUAGCUGUCACUGCAGGAUGGGCCCGCGGCGCAUUAGCUAGUUGGUGGGGUAGUGGCUUACCAAGGCUUUGACGGGUAGCCGGCCUGAGAGGGUGACCGGCCACAUUGGGACUGAGAUACGGCCCAG
This 317-nucleotide ribosomal RNA is filed under the name uncultured bacterium. RNAcentral's name for it is "bacterial SSU rRNA". It matches the Rfam family "Bacterial small subunit ribosomal RNA", at positions 28 to 334 of the family's 1533-position model. The record is from RNAcentral.